RNAcentral lists this ribosomal RNA (452 nucleotides) under uncultured bacterium. RNAcentral's name for it is "bacterial SSU rRNA". It matches the Rfam family "Bacterial small subunit ribosomal RNA", at positions 1052 to 1504 of the family's 1533-position model. The record is from RNAcentral.
UCGUCAGCUCGUGUCGUGAGAUGUUGGGUUAAGUCCCGCAACGAGCGCAACCCCUGUUCUUAGUUGCUAGCACGUUAAGGUGGGAACUCUAAGAAGACUGCCGGUGAUAAAUCGGAGGAAGGUGGGGACGACGUCAAAUCAUCAUGCCCUUUAUGUCCUGGGCUACACACGUACUACAAUGGCUGUAACAGAGGGAAGCGAAGCCGCGAGGUGGAGCAAAACCCAAAAAAGCAGUCUCAGUUCGGAUUGAAGGCUGAAAUUCGCCUUCAUGAAGCCGGAAUUGCUAGUAAUGGCAGGUCAGCAUACUGCCGUGAAUACGUUCCCGGGCCUUGUACACACCGCCCGUCACACCAUGAGAGUUGGGAAUACCCGAAGCCUGUGAGCUAACUUUUAGAGGCAGCAGUCGAAGGUAGAAUCAAUGAUUGGGGUGAAGUCGUAACAAGGUAGCCGUA